Molecule: ribosomal RNA, 254 nt
Filed under: uncultured bacterium
Lineage: Bacteria
Description: partial 16S ribosomal RNA
Rfam family: Bacterial small subunit ribosomal RNA
Source: RNAcentral
UACAGAGGUCUCAAGCGUUGUUCGGAUUCAUUGGGCGUAAAGGGUGCGUAGGCGGCGCGGUAAGUCGGGUGUGAAAUUUCGAGGCUUAACUUCGAAACUGCAUUCGAUACUGCCGUGCUUGAGGACUGGGAGAGGAGACUGGAAUUUACGGUGUAGCGGUGAAAUGCGUAGAUAUCGUAAGGAAGACCAGUGGCGAAGGCGGGUCUCUGGACAGUUCCUGACGCUGAGGCACGAAGGCCAGGGGAGCAAACGGG